UCCUACGGGAGGCAGCAGUAGGGAAUAUUGCACAAUGGGCGAAAGCCUGAUGCAGCAACGCCGCGUGCGCGAAGAAGGCCUUCGGGUUGUAAAGCGCUUUUCUGGAGGAAGAGGAAGGACGGUACUCCAGGAAUAAGCACCGGCUAACUCCGUGCCAGCAGCCGCGGUAAUACGGAGGGUGCAAGCGUUAUCCGGAUUCACUGGGUUUAAAGGGUGCGUAGGCGGGCAGGUAAGUCAGUGGUGAAAUCCUGGAGCUUAACUCCAGAACUGCCAUUGAUACUAUCUGUCUUGAAUAUUGUGGAGGUAAGCGGAAUAUGUCAUGUAGCGGUGAAAUGCUUAGAUAUGACAUAGAACACCUAUUGCGAAGGCAGCUUACUACGCAUAUAUUGACGCUGAGGCACGAAAGCGUGGGGAUCAAACAGGAUUAGAUACCCGAGUAGUCCAAGCCG
This 449-nucleotide ribosomal RNA is filed under the name uncultured bacterium. RNAcentral's name for it is "bacterial SSU rRNA". It matches the Rfam family "Bacterial small subunit ribosomal RNA", at positions 337 to 802 of the family's 1533-position model. The record is from RNAcentral.